GACAAGAAUUCUUAUACUUCCGCAACAUCGCUGGCGAGCUUUUAGCACGUUUGGAAGUUUCACACGGGUAACUUCCGCAAUAGAAAAUGUUUGUAGGGAUGUAUCGUGAAACACAAAGCGCACAAUCAUAUUCAGCAUACUCAUAAAAACUUCAACACAAAUAAAUAUACAUAUAGUCAGCAUUUGGUUGUGUCGUAUAUUCAUACAUUUUUCUUUCAUAUGCAACAGUUUUAGGCUCCAACCGGUUUCUUUCCUCCGUUAUAAUAUUUCCAGCUAAAGAAAAAAACGUUUCCAAUGGUGGUUGCAGGAACUGAUAUUUUUAUUAAAAAUAUCCCAACAUAGCCUUUCUAUUUAAGUUCAUAAAAUUAUUUGGAAGCAUGUUACCUAUCUAUUUCCAUAUUUUUAUUAAAUUGUAAAACUUGCUUCUUUAAUUUUUUAACACUACUUUUUUAAUUUUACAUAAAACUAAAUAAAAAGAUCUUUACCUGUUACUUUUUGUAUUAUAUUUGUCAUUCAUAAUUUAUUGCUAUUUCUUAUUAAUUUGAUUUUGUAAAAAACGGCCGUAAUAAAUUUCAAAUUCUUAGAAUUUACAUUCUAUUUCACAUGAUAAAUAGAAAUGCACCAUAUGUUAACUUUCCUACCAAAGAACAUGCUCAUUAUUUUGCCUUUAUUGUUAUUUAUAUUUUAUUUACACGCAUUUCCGCACAGCAAUACUUAAAGUAAAUAGAGUAAAUCAUAAUAUAUUUUGUUGAAAUGUUUGAAUAAAAGAAAUUCCCAACAUA
This is a long non-coding RNA of Lucilia cuprina (Australian sheep blowfly), 782 nucleotides long. RefSeq lists it as uncharacterized. Lineage: Eukaryota; Metazoa; Arthropoda; Insecta; Diptera; Calliphoridae. The transcript has 2 exons. The record is from RefSeq and is a predicted model, not a curated record.